UAGGGAAUCUUCCACAAUGGACGCACGUCUGAUGGAGCAACGCCGCGUGAGUGAAGAAGGUUUUCGGAUCGUAAAGCUCUGUUGUUGGUGAAGAAGGAUAGAGGCAGUAACUGGUCUUUAUUUGACGGUAAUCAACAAGAAAGUCACGGCUAACUACGUGCCAGCAGCCUCGGUAAUACGUAGGUGGCAAGCGUUGUCCGGAUUUAUUGGGCGUAAAGCGAGCGCAGGCGGGAUGAUAAGUCUGAUGUGAAAGCCCACGGCUCAACGGGUGAACUGCAUCGGAAACUGUCAUUCUUGAGUGCAGAAGAGGAGAGUGGAAUUCCAUGUGUAGCGGUGGAAUGCGUAGAUAUAUGGACGAACACCAGUUGCGAAGGCGGCUCUCUGGUCUGCAACUGACGCUGAGGCUCGAAAGCAUGGGUAGCGAACAGG
This 429-nucleotide ribosomal RNA is filed under the name bacterium. RNAcentral's name for it is "partial 16S ribosomal RNA". It matches the Rfam family "Bacterial small subunit ribosomal RNA", at positions 355 to 776 of the family's 1533-position model. The record is from RNAcentral.